UGUUCCGGGAUAUCCCCGGAGCGGCCGUGGUGGCCACAAUUGGAAUUUGAGCCGCCAUUCCUAUCCUGAGUCUUCUCCCCCCCCCCAACCCCCCUUGCUUUCUCUGCAAAGGUCCUGGGACUUCCGGCUCGAGGCAGCCCAGUGAAAUGUCCCUAGAAGGAGGUGCUCACAGCAGCCUAUUUCUUCCAUCCCAGACCUUUCUAUGCCAUGUGAGUUAAAGUUCUCAAGAUUCACAUCUUAGAUCCACCUCACCCUAAAGGGCACAACUGUCACAAGUUCGGAAGUGACACACCUUCUUAAAACCAUGCCAGGUAUGCAGGAGGACUGGUCAAACGGAGGGGUGGACUCAACCAGCCACCGCAGCUCCCCAUUAUCUGAAGCAGCUAACAGGACCAGUGUUUGUUCCCAGACCUGGAAUAUAAUGGCUCGUGAUUCCUCAAUUAAAGGUUUGUCUCCUUCAAAGACCUGACCGGGUACUUUUUCUCAGAACAAUGGAAAUCUCACUCCCACCUGCCCUGGUUUACAGCUGUGCACGAACCAAUGAACACAUGCCUUAAUGAUGACCCAGUGCCAUCAUCCUUAGCCCUCAGCCCUCCUGGCCACUCCCCUGUGGCUGGCCAGAGGAGCUGGCUUUUUUACUGCUGAGUCCUCACCUGGAAGACUGUGAAAUAGCAACUCUGGCCUUCUUCUUCCCAUUCUCACCUUUCCCCCUGGUGUGCUUCCUCUGGCAAAGUUGCCUCAUUCUUUCAUGAAAGUUCUUCCCCCAACCUCUGCUACAGGACACGUACACAAUCAACUCGGUCUGAGAGGAGCCUUCAGCUUCAUGUCCAGAUGGAAGAGGAGGACAGACUUAAACGGGAGAGUUCAUUGGAAGAGAAGAGUUUUCAGUGACCAGAGAGAGAGGUAACCUUUCCUUGUUGCUGGAGCAGACUGAGAGAUGGAGGAGGAGGGAGAGCAAGGGGACCACCACACCCUCUCCUCCUGAGAUGCUGCAAAGCUGCCCUGAGCAGAGAGAAGGGGAGAGCUUGAGGAUUAGAAUGGGAGGAGGGUGAUAUUUUAAAUUACAUGGCACUGGGUGUUUUAAAGCUCUCAAAGUAAAAGUGAGGCUGAGAUGUUGAUGAGUCAGAAAUGGCAAUGCAACUUCAGUAAAAUAAAGCCAUUCCCUGUUUGAACCCCAGCAGGCCAGCCUGCUCAAUAGACCUACUCAAUUUUCUUCAGCCCCAGGAGACUGCCUAUCCUGAGGGAUGCUUCUUACUCCGUGUUUAUUCCAGACUAUCUAUCUGACCUAAGAACACAGACUUUGGGAGGAUAGAGUCAGUCUGACUUAGAGGUUACGCUACUCAACCGCCCGCUCAUCCUUCCCAAGGGGAAAUGAACCAGGGCCAACCCCAGCCCAGACAGGAGACUGAAAAAAUGGAAAACGCAGGAAGGAAAAAAUGUGUAGAGACUAUUCUUGCAAAACCUUAGCCCAGAUAAAGAGGUCAAAACCAAAAAUAAUCAGAGAUCAGAAUGGUAAAGAGGAGGGCUACUUGAGCCAGAAGGCAACAUUAGCUUCCUCACAUCCUCAGGCGAACAGGGGUCAGACAAUCCCUUCAGCUCAUAUAUGGCCUUAGACUAGUCAGGGCACAUCUAUCCAAGGCUUUGGUUUUCCUGACUGUCAAAAUAGACACCAGUAGCUUGUUCCAGCAACCUCACACAAGUGGCAUGGAGUCAAAUGUGAUUGCAUGGCCUGAAAUGAAACAGAAACUCUGAAAACUGCAUAAAGCCACUCUACCCAGAAUAUUCCCAGUCGUCAUCUGCUAAUUACUGAGGCCCCUCUGGAGACUGGUUACCUCUGUAAUUCUCCUAAGGAUAUAUUUAGGCUAUUCUUGUUUUGUGACUAUUUUGGGGACUGCAAAAAACCCAGUAUUCUACUAAAUUUAAGCAUGCACAGCUUACCAACAAGUUGUGUUUCAAAAGCAGAUUUGCAGGUAGGCUAGAGAUUCGUUUUACAUAAAAACCAUGUUAAAAGGAAUCUGUUAUACAUAUGCAAACCAGUAGAAAACAAUAAUGUUACAAAGCACGAAGCCAAACAGGAAAAAUAUAUCUUAAGAGUGGCCAAGUAAUAGUACAUUCACUAUUUAAUACAGGUACUUUAAACUUCUCCAUUAAUGCUUGAAUGCUGCUAUUUCUUGCAGCUUGAAGACUUACGCUGGGCAUAAAGCAAGUAGAACACGGGGGAGCGAGGAUAUGGAAAAUUAUAAUGGAAUUCCUGGCAAGUCAGAGCAACCCACACGUUUCUCCUCUAGGACUUCCUGGAGCCAGUUUCCUCCCUGCCUCUGUCCAGGGACCACCUUCUGGCUCCACGCCACCCACAACACAUCCCCCCAUGUGUCUCCCCCAACUCUAGCAUGGAGGAGAGCCACACACAAGGUUCAUGUUUAGGGGAAGGAGAGGCUGAUCUUUCUAUUUUAAAAUUUACUAGCAUAAUCUAAUUGCAGAAGAAGUCCUUAAUUGCCCAGUUCUAAGCCAGCCUGAUCAGGUGUGCUGUGCCGGCAAUGGGUCCGGACCAAGG
This is a long non-coding RNA of Myotis daubentonii (Daubenton's bat), 2554 nucleotides long. RefSeq lists it as uncharacterized. The record is from RefSeq and is a predicted model, not a curated record. Lineage: Eukaryota; Metazoa; Chordata; Mammalia; Chiroptera; Vespertilionidae.